Mustela lutreola (European mink) is the source of this 1424-nucleotide long non-coding RNA. RefSeq lists it as uncharacterized. The transcript has 3 exons. Lineage: Eukaryota; Metazoa; Chordata; Mammalia; Carnivora; Mustelidae. The record is from RefSeq and is a predicted model, not a curated record.
GCUGCCGCAGGGUUGGCGGACUCGGGAAGGAGCGAAGAUGGCGGAGUGAGGCGUGCCGCUGCGAGCCGGCCGUUGGGCCGGGGGCGGCAAGGCCCCCGGAGUGUCCAGUGCGUCUGCUAGUCGGUGCGAGGAAGAACAUUUUCUUUGGCUUCCAGGUGCUUUUCUAUUCAUCUUAAGAAGAAAGCAAAAAUCUGAACUCAGGAUUUGGCAAGUAUUCUGUCUUGUCUCCUGGAGUAGGUAGUCCUUUUAUCCAGCCACUUGUCCUAUUCUUGAAAUGUGGAUAUCUCUUUUCUACAUGUUUUACCUCCAUGGUUUGGAUUGGAAAAGGCUGCUUUUUUUUGUUGUUCCUUUUCUCAGAUUCAACAUUGAGAGGCUCCUAGGAUGCAGUUGUCUUGCCAAGUUCUCCAGAAAGAAAGAAGCAACUGAUGUACAUGUUCUGCUUUUUGCUUAAUUACAAAGAAAUUAUUUUGGAAGCUGAAACUGAUGCUUAAUUUGAAACAGGUGCUUAGAUGCUGGUGUAUGUUAAUACUUUACCUUUUGUUCCAAACAAGAAGACUAAAUACAGAGCAAGUAUGGAUGGGUUCAGGGGUUUUUUGUUGUUGGUGGGUUUUUUGUUGUUUUUUUUUUUUAAUGUCUUCCAUUUUCGGCCACUGUCAUAAGCACAGUCAAAUCUGCAAGGAGUACAUUCCAAAUAUGUGUUCUAAUAUGAAAUGAAAGAGAUGCUUAAAAACUACAAAUAUUAAAUAUCUAAAUCGUGACUCAUCCUUUGAAGUACAUUUGCUGGAAAAGAACAAAAGCCCAAUUUUGCAAUAAAACCUUUGAUGUGAUAAAGAAGCAUAAAGACAAAAUGAUUCAAGAUUAACAGAGUCUGUCAAAUAUACGUUUACAUGUGCAAAUCUACAUUUUGGACGAGAAGCGGGAUUUUUCUCCUAGAGAAGGAAGCUGUUGCUGGUUUCUGUCUGAGAAGUCUUUGGACAUUUCAUAUUUUUAAAUGAUUUUUCACUUUUCUAAGGAAGGACCACAUUGUACAUUUGCUAACCAUGUGAAUGCAUGGUUGAGUUUACUGAAAGUUCGGAAAAGGAAACAAAACAGCUUCAAGUCCAGUGAUGGAACCCUGUUCACCUCCCUCAGAUGAGAGGCUCCUUAUAUUGCAAAUUAUUCCAUUCUUUUUUGUGGAUUCUUACAUAGCACUUGAGACAUGGAAACAUGCUGCUAAGCAGGAACAAGAGUGGCUUAAGUGGUUUUUCUGUUCAGAAAAUAUGGUGGAUUCUCUAUUAUGACCUGCCUUCAACUUUGGGCAUGGAGGAAUGGGGAACAAAAACAUACCCAGAGAAUUCCUUUCUCCUGAGAAAAAAGCAGCAAAAAUGCCUUAUGCAGCUCCAUCUGACUUUAUGACAUCUUACAUUCUGUAGCUCCUGUUUUCU